This 953-nucleotide ribosomal RNA is filed under the name Vibrio harveyi. RNAcentral describes it as "bacterial SSU rRNA". It matches the Rfam family "Bacterial small subunit ribosomal RNA", at positions 52 to 986 of the family's 1533-position model. Lineage: Bacteria; Pseudomonadati; Pseudomonadota; Gammaproteobacteria; Vibrionales; Vibrionaceae. The record is from RNAcentral.
CACAUGCAGUCGAGCGGAACGAGUUAUCUGAACCUUCGGGGAACGAUAACGGCGUCGAGCGGCGGACGGGUGAGUAAUGCCUAGGAAAUUGCCCUGGUGUGGGGGAUAACCAUUGGAAACGAUGGCUAAUACCGCAUAAUACCUUCGGGUCAAAGAGGGGGACCUUCGGGCCUCUCGCGUCAGGAUAUGCCUAGGUGGGAUUAGCUAGUUGGUGAGGUAAUGGCUCACCAAGGCGACGAUCCCUAGCUGGUCUGAGAGGAUGAUCAGCCACACUGGAACUGAGACACGGUCCAGACUCCUACGGGAGGCAGCAGUGGGGAAUAUUGCACAAUGGGCGCAAGCCUGAUGCAGCCAUGCCGCGUGUGUGAAGAAGGCCUUCGGGUUGUAAAGCACUUUCAGUCGUGAGGAAGGUAGUGUAGUUAAUAGCUGCAUUAUUUGACGUUAGCGACAGAAGAAGCACCGGCUAACUCCGUGCCAGCAGCCGCGGUAAUACGGAGGGUGCGAGCGUUAAUCGGAAUUACUGGGCGUAAAGCGCAUGCAGGUGGUUUGUUAAGUCAGAUGUGAAAGCCCGGGGCUCAACCUCGGAAUAGCAUUUGAAACUGGCAGACUAGAGUACUGUAGAGGGGGGUAGAAUUUCAGGUGUAGCGGUGAAAUGCGUAGAGAUCUGAAGGAAUACCGGUGGCGAAGGCGGCCCCCUGGACAGAUACUGACACUCAGAUGCGAAAGCGUGGGGAGCAAACAGGAUUAGAUACCCUGGUAGUCCACGCCGUAAACGAUGUCUACUUGGAGGUUGUGGCCUUGAGCCGUGGCUUUCGGAGCUAACGCGUUAAGUAGACCGCCUGGGGAGUACGGUCGCAAGAUUAAAACUCAAAUGAAUUGACGGGGGCCCGCACAAGCGGUGGAGCAUGUGGUUUAAUUCGAUGCAACGCGAAGAACCUUACCUACUCUUGACA